Molecule: ribosomal RNA, 497 nt
Filed under: uncultured bacterium
Lineage: Bacteria
Description: partial 16S ribosomal RNA
Rfam family: Bacterial small subunit ribosomal RNA
Source: RNAcentral
GACGAACGCUGGCGGCGUGCCUAAUACAUGCAAGUUGAGCGAUGAAGAUUGGUGCUUGCACCAAUUUGAAGAGCAGCGAACGGGUGAGUAACGCGUGGGGAAUCUGCCUUUGAGCGGGGGACAACAUUUGGAAACGAAUGCUAAUACCGCAUAACAACUUUAAACAUAAGUUUUAAGUUUGAAAGAUUCAAUUGCAUCACUCAAAGAUGAUCCCGCGUUGUAUUAGCUAGUUGGUUAGGUAAAGGCUCACCAAGGCGAUGAUACAUAGACGAACUGAGAGGGUGAUCGGAAAAAAUGGGAAUGAGAAAAGGCAAAAAAGCAAAAGGGAGGGAGCAGUAGGGAAAAAGAGGAAAUGGAAGAAAGUAAGAAAGAGAAAAGACGAGUGAGUGAAGAAGGUUUUCGGAUCGGAAAACUCUGUUGGUAGAGAAGAACGUUGGUGAGAGUGGAAAGCUCAUAAAGUGACGGUAACGAACCAGAAAGGGACGGCUAACUACGUG